GCGCAGCAGUCGCGAAAACUCCGCAAUACGCGAAAGCGUGACGGGGCUAUCCCGAGUGCCGUCCGCUGAGGAUGGCUUUUCCCUAGUGUAGAUAGCUGGGGGAAUAAGGAGAGGGCAAGUCUGGUGUCAGCCGCCGCGGUAAUACCAGCUCUUCGAGUGGUAGGGAUGUUUAUUGGGCCUGAAGCAUCCGUAGCUGGCUGUGCAAGUCCUCCGUUAAAUCCAGCGAUUCAAUCGUUGGAUUGCGGGGGAUACUGGUGUGCUAGGAGGUGGGAGAGGCCGACGGUAUUCCCGGAGUAGGGGUGAAAUCCUAUAAUCCCGGGAGGACCACCAGUGGCGAAGGCUGUUGGCUAGAACGCGCCCGACGGUGAGGGAUGAAAGCUGGGGGAGCGAACCGGAUUAGAUACCCGGGUAGUCC
Molecule: ribosomal RNA, 415 nt
Filed under: uncultured crenarchaeote
Lineage: Archaea; Thermoproteati; Thermoproteota
Description: partial 16S ribosomal RNA
Rfam family: Archaeal small subunit ribosomal RNA
Source: RNAcentral